Molecule: ribosomal RNA, 253 nt
Filed under: uncultured bacterium
Lineage: Bacteria
Description: partial 16S ribosomal RNA
Rfam family: Bacterial small subunit ribosomal RNA
Source: RNAcentral
UACGUAGGUGGCGAGCGUUGUCCGGAUUUACUGGGUGUAAAGGGCGUGUAGGCGGGAAUGCAAGUCAGAUGUGAAAUUCCACGGCUCAACUGUGGGGCUGCAUCUGAAACUGUGUUUCUUGAGUGCUGGAGAGGAAAGCGGAAUUCCUAGUGUAGCGGUGAAAUGCGUAGAUAUUAGGAGGAACACCAGUGGCGAAGGCGGCUUUCUGGACAGUAACUGACGCUGAGGCGCGAAAGCGUGGGGAGCAAACAGG